Molecule: ribosomal RNA, 473 nt
Filed under: uncultured bacterium
Lineage: Bacteria
Description: bacterial SSU rRNA
Rfam family: Bacterial small subunit ribosomal RNA
Source: RNAcentral
CACUAUCACUCCUACGGGAGGCAGCAGUGGGGAAUAUUGCACAAUGGGGGAAACCCUGAUGCAGCCAUGCCGCGUGUGUGAAGAAGGCCUUCGGGUUGUAAAGCACUUUCAGUCGGGAGGAAGGUAGUGUAGUUAACACCUGCAUUAUUUGACGUUACCUACAGAAGAAGCACCGGCUAACUCCGUGCCAGCAGCCGCGGUAAUACGGAGGGUGCGAGCGUUAAUCGGAAUUACUGGGCGUAAAGCGCAUGCAGGCGGCCUGUUAAGUCAGAUGUGAAAGCCCCGGGGCUUAACCUCGGAAUUGCAUUUGAAACUGGCAGGCUAGAGUCUUGUAGAGGGGGUAGAAUUUCAGGUGUAGCGGUGAAAUGCGUAGAGAUCUGAAGGAAUACCAGUGGCGAAGGCGGCCCCCUGGACAAAGACUGACGCUCAGAUGCGAAAGCGUGGGGAGCAAACAGGAUUAGAUACCCUGGUAG